This 301-nucleotide ribosomal RNA is filed under the name uncultured bacterium. RNAcentral's name for it is "partial 16S ribosomal RNA". It matches the Rfam family "Bacterial small subunit ribosomal RNA", at positions 509 to 809 of the family's 1533-position model. The record is from RNAcentral.
CAGCCGCCGCGGUAAUACGAAGGGUGCAAGCGUUAAUCGGAAUUACUGGGCGUAAAGCGUGCGUAGGCGGUGAGUUAAGUCUGCUGUGAAAUCCCCGGGCUCAACCUGGGAAUGGCAGUGGAUACUGGCUCGCUAGAGUGUGUCAGAGGAUGGUGGAAUUCCCGGUGUAGCAGUGAAAUGCGUAGAGAUCGGAAGGAACAUCUGUGGCGAGGGCGACUAUCUGGGCCAACACUGACACUGAGGCACGAAAGCGUGGGGAGCAAACAGGAUUAGAUACCCCCGUAGUCCCUGUCUCUUAUCC